Molecule: long non-coding RNA, 1447 nt
Filed under: Mustela putorius furo (domestic ferret)
Lineage: Eukaryota; Metazoa; Chordata; Mammalia; Carnivora; Mustelidae
Description: lncRNA (ENSMPUG00000026504.1)
Source: RNAcentral
UAAAAAGGCUAAUAAAUAAAUAAAUAAAUAAAUAGUGACAAUUGAGUGGUGCUAGGGACUUUGCCCUUGAGUGGAAUUGCAUGGUUCUGGGAUUUCACAAUCCAGUGCCAAAUGUCUGUGACCCCCUGCUUACGGUUACCAAGGAUAUACUAAUUUCAACAGUCAUCACAUUGUUUCCUGAUUUCUGAAGGACCCGCCACGCUAACUCAGUCUUCUAGAAUGUUGGAAGUGGGAGCUACUGUGGGGAAGACCCAGCCGCCCUCCUGCUGGGCACAAGGAAGCGCCAGCCCUCACAGAGUCAUCUGGCAGGUGCGUGGCAGAGCACGCACGUUGGGAUCCCAGGAUCCCAACCUCCAGCUCAGAGUCCUGCAUUCAUCACAUCAUAAUGACUCCUUGGAGAACAAGCUGCUCUGGGAUCACCAGGGACACUGGGAUUUGAUCUCCAAGGGUGUUUAUUCCCAGGAGCUUCCCCGAAUGGCUGUGGUUAUAAACUACAGGGGUCCCUCUGAGAGGAAGGCAAUGUGAUGACAGAAGCAGGAGAUUGUGGUCAGAGGGAGAGAUUUGAAGAGGCUGCACUGAUGGAGGAAGGGGCCAUGAGUCCAGGAAUGCAGGCAGCCUGAAGAUGCUGGAAAAGGCAAGGAAACAGAUUUUUCCCUAGAGUUUCCAGAAGAAACACAGAGCUGUUAACACCUUGAUUUUAGAACUUCUGAUCUCCAGAACCGUAAGAUAAUAAAUUUGUGAUGUCUUAAUUUGUGGCAGUUAUUUAAAAAGGCAACAGAAAAUGAAUAUAAAUAUAUACCAUUUUUACAGUGGAAUUUAUAGUUUUAUUUGGUUACAGGAAGCUUUAAAAAUAACAUGUGGGUUAAUAUUUGUAGCUUAGUACGACUUCAUCAUUUAGAAGUUGCAAAAUAUAAAAGCAAUAAAGCUUAAUAGGUUUCUGAUGAACAUGUCUCAUCUCUUCAUUUUCCCUGUCAACAUAGAAAUGCCUCACUACAGAGCAAUAAACAUUGGAUUGAGGGUAAUUUGCUCAAUAAUGAAAUCUAGUACACAAAUGUCUGAGAAGCAUACAACAAGCGGUAGGAAAGAAGAGCUAAAAAAAAAAAAAAAAAAAAGGAUAAAGCUGAUGAAUCAUAAAUAAAACACCCCCUGAGUUGAGCAACUCCAGAUUUAUGCAAAUUCAACAUUGCCCAAAAUUUUCCAAAAGGCACAUACUACAAUUUGAAAGAAAUAGAAAAGUAUAAGAUAGCUCAUGGGCAAUGGAAAUUCAGAAUAGUAUUAUCUCAUCACUUGCUUUUAGCCUGUUUUCCCUUCAGUCCAGUCUCUUACUUCAUUCAGGUCUCCUGGUUGACAGCCUUGUUCCUGCUGUUUCGAUCUCUGUGUUUUAAUCACCCAACAGACUAUCUGGUGUCUGGCCCUCAGCAAUUCCUCCAGCAUCACCUCUCCUCCA